This is a long non-coding RNA of Esox lucius (northern pike), 1680 nucleotides long. NCBI's taxonomy places the organism in Eukaryota, Metazoa, Chordata, Actinopteri, Esociformes, Esocidae. The record is from Ensembl.
CUAAUUGUCACGUUACCAGACGGGACAUCGACUUCAAGUGGAGGCCGUGGGUCUCCCUCCUCGAUCCGUACUUUCCUCCGCCAGACCCCCCAAAUGUAACCCUAUUUUAUGAUCGGCAGGGCGAUGAGGUGUAUAGAGAGGGGUUUGGGGAUGUAGUGUGUGGGGACACGUGGCAGGUCGGGUCUAAAUUCAUAUAUGUAGGCCCUGAAGGGGUAGCGGCAGAUGUACAGUUGACAGAGGAGCAGGAUCAGUGGUACAUGAUGGCGGAGGAGUCCGUCCCGCAUGUGUCACUGGCCCUGCAUCCUAAACACCAAGCAAAAGACCUGGGGCCCAUGGUUAAAAGGGCGGUCGAAUGUACUGAUUGGACACUCACUCAGGCGCCAAACGUAUUGUACUCACACAGCUGUAAGACGUAAAACUGGUUCACCUGCAUUGACCUGGCUAACGCUUUUUUCUGUCUCCCACUAGCAGAGGAACUUCAUGAUAUUUUUUCUUUCACAUAAAGGGGUCGGCAAUGGCGGUACACGAGACUACCACAGGGGUUCGCGCUUUCCCCUGGUAUAUUCAACCAGGUACUGAGAGAAGCGCUGCAGGGAUGCUGCCUGCCGACAGGGGUAACUUUGGUCCAGUACGUAGAUGACCUGCUGCUGGCGGCCCCGACGGUAGGAGAACCGGGAAGGAGGAGCUUUCCCCAGUGUGGACGGAAGGAGGACCAGCACCAGCCGGACCGGUGCCAGGAGCGGACCCCAGGACACGGCGGGACUACGAGCGAGUGAAGGAGACAAAGGACGGCGCCAGGGGAAUAGACUCUUAGGGGAAAGAACUGAAGAAUACUGUAACAAAAGGUUUCCCAGGUUGGCAUCGGGUCUUCAUUCCCCCAGCGAAGAGGUUUGUGACCCCACCUGAGGACACCUGUUUGAGGAAAUUUGGGGGAUUGAAUUGGACUAUGUCAAGGGGUUGCAUUCGAGCAUUCUGGGAUAGAUAAUCCGCUGGAGGAAUGGCUGACCUCGAUGUUCUGCCAGUGGAAAGGUUUGAUAAUGUCUGUUCUUUUAUCGCUAUCUACAUUUGGUGCUAUAAUGGUUACUUGCGGGUGUUGUUGUAUCCCAUGCAUAAGAGGGCUUGCCAUGAGAGUGAUCUCUACAGCCAUUGAGAAGGCUCCAGGACCGCCACCAGGGAUGCUGAUGCCUCUACUGUAGCAGCAUGACCCGGGAGAACUGGAGCUUGGCGAAUAGGGGUGAUCUCUCUGGGGAGAGAUCAAAAGGGGGAAUUGUAGAUGUAUUGAUUGUAUAAGUUAGUGAACUGUUGUAAGCUGUUGUAACCAAUGAAACAAAAUAUUAAUUGUUUGUAAUAUGAGCUAAAAUGGAAGGUGCAAGUAGGAGAAUAGGACACCAUAUUCAAGCGGUUGCCGGGGAGAGAAAGAUUUAGUAUGUCUGUUUUGUGAGAAACAGGUCACAGGUCAGAGACACACACAGUCGGACAGACAAGACAGAAACCAGAAGGGAGGCAAGGGGAUACUUGCAGUUAUAAGGAAUAGAACUGGGAUUGGGCCAAUGGCACACACUUUGUAAGUUAACGCCUCUAUCUUUUUGGGCGUAGUAGAAGUAUAAAAAUGAUGUUUUGACUGUUGAUCCUUAGACAUUGUGCGGCGACACCUUGUCUCCAAAAGCUUUUGUAAUAAAC